This 29-nucleotide non-coding RNA is filed under the name Mus musculus (house mouse). Lineage: Eukaryota; Metazoa; Chordata; Mammalia; Rodentia; Muridae. The record is from RNAcentral.
GCUCAAAGUUAGGUAGCAAAUUCCACAAU